Molecule: ribosomal RNA, 373 nt
Filed under: uncultured organism
Description: bacterial SSU rRNA
Rfam family: Bacterial small subunit ribosomal RNA
Source: RNAcentral
CGGGGGAGGCAAGCGUUGUUCAGAUUUACUGGGCGUAAAGGGCGCGUAGGCGGCGCGACAAGUCACUUGUGAAAUCUCUGAGCUCAACUCAGAACGGUCAGGUGAUACUGUCGUGCUAGAGUGCGGAAGGGGCAACUGGAAUUCUUGGUGUAGCGGUGAAAUGCGUAGAUAUCAAGAGGAACACCUGCGGCGAAGGCGGGUUGCUGGGCCGACACUGACGCUGAGGCGCGAAAGCUAGGGGAGCGAACGGGAUUAGAUACCCCGGUAGUCCUAGCCUUAAACGAUGAAUGCUUGGUGUCCGGAGUUAGAUAGUCUCCGGGUGCCGUCGCUAACGCUUUAAGCAUUCCGCCUGGGGAGUACGGUCGCAAGACUG